This 487-nucleotide ribosomal RNA is filed under the name uncultured bacterium. RNAcentral describes it as "bacterial SSU rRNA". It matches the Rfam family "Bacterial small subunit ribosomal RNA", at positions 28 to 518 of the family's 1533-position model. The record is from RNAcentral.
GAUGAACGCUAGCGGCAGGCCUAAUACAUGCAAGUCGUACGGCAACACAGUUGCGAGCAAUCGCAACCGGUGGCGAGUGGCGCACGGGUGAGUAACGCGUAUGUAACCUACCCUUCUCCGGGACAUAACUCCGCGAAAGCGGUGCUAAUAUCCCAUACCAACUCAUCAAGACAUCUUCUUGAGUUGAAAGCAGCAAUGCGGUGAAGGAUGGGCAUGCGUCCCAUUAGCUGGUUGGUGAGGUAAUGGCCCACCAAGGCGACGACGGAUAGCGGGUGUGAGAGCAUGACCCGUCUCACUGGGACUGAGACACUGCCCAGACUCCUACGGGAGCUGCAGUCAAGAAUAUUCCUCAAUGGCCAAAGGCUGAAGGAGCGACGCCGCGUGUAUGAUGAAAGCCCCUUCGGGGUGUAAAAUACUUUUAAACCGGGACGAAGUACUGACGGUACCGGUUGAAUAAGGGGCUGCUAACCUCGUGCCAGCAGCCGAC